RNAcentral lists this ribosomal RNA (253 nucleotides) under uncultured bacterium. Its description in RNAcentral is "partial 16S ribosomal RNA". It matches the Rfam family "Bacterial small subunit ribosomal RNA", at positions 524 to 776 of the family's 1533-position model. The record is from RNAcentral.
UACGGGGGGGGCAAGCGUUGUUCGGAAUUACUGGGCGUAAAGGGCGCGUAGGCGGCCUGCUAAGUCGGAUGUGAAAUCCCUCGGCUCAACCGAGGAACCGCAUCCGAUACUGGCGGGCUUGAAUCCGGGAGAGGGAUGUGGAAUUCCAGGUGUAGCGGUGAAAUGCGUAGAUAUCUGGAGGAACACCGGUGGCGAAGGCGGCGACCUGGUCCAUUACUGACGCUGAGGCGCGACAGCGUGGGGAGCAAACAGG